This 219-nucleotide ribosomal RNA is filed under the name uncultured bacterium. RNAcentral's name for it is "partial 16S ribosomal RNA". It matches the Rfam family "Bacterial small subunit ribosomal RNA", at positions 1285 to 1500 of the family's 1533-position model. The record is from RNAcentral.
UUCUCAGUUCGGCUGCAGUCUGCAACUCGACUGCACGAAGCUGGAAUCGCUAGUAAUCGCGGAUCAGCACGCCGCGGUGAAUACGUUCCCGGGCCUUGUACACACCGCCCGUCACACCAUGGAAGUCUGCAAUGCCCGAAGCCGGUGGCCUAACCACUUAUGUGGAAGGAGCCGUCUAAGGCAGGGCAGAUGACUGGGGUGAAGUCGUAACAAGGUAUC